RNAcentral lists this ribosomal RNA (253 nucleotides) under uncultured bacterium. Its description in RNAcentral is "partial 16S ribosomal RNA". It matches the Rfam family "Bacterial small subunit ribosomal RNA", at positions 524 to 776 of the family's 1533-position model. The record is from RNAcentral.
UACAGAGGGUGCGAGCGUUAAUCGGAAUUACUGGGCGUAAAGCGUGCGUAGACGGUUAUGUAAGUCAGGUGUGAAAGCCCCAGGCUCAACCUGGGAAUUGCAUUUGAGACUGCAUAGCUAGGGUGCGGAAGAGGGAAGCGGAAUUUCCGGUGUAGCGGUGAAAUGCGUAGAUAUCGGAAGGAACAUCAGUGGCGAAAGCGGCUUCCUGGUCCAGCACCGACGUUCAGGCACGAAAGCGUGGGGAGCAAACAGG